Molecule: non-coding RNA, 390 nt
Organism: Lepisosteus oculatus (spotted gar)
Lineage: Eukaryota; Metazoa; Chordata; Actinopteri; Semionotiformes; Lepisosteidae
Source: the annotation of a RefSeq genome assembly
AGCAGUGACACUUUCACUCUUCAAAUGGAAGUUCUAUUGGUGAUUUGUAUUACUUUAAUUUUCUCACCAGCUGCUGUACACUGCGACUCCAUCUCUCCUCUGCAGACAAAGGUCUCUGGGGAUGAAGAGGGAUCAGUGUCUCUUCAAUGUUCUUACUCCACAAGCAGUGCUGGUUAUCGUCUGUACUGGUAUCGCCAGUAUCCUCACACCCCACUGCAAUAUAUUUUAUAUAAAGGAGCUGGUACAUCAAGUGCAGAGCACACUGCAAGCUUCGCUAAAGGCCAUUUCAGUUGUGAAACAGAUAGAAGCUCCACCACCCUCACAAUUUCAGAUCUCAGCCUGAGUGACUCAGCCAUUUAUUUCUGCGCUCUGAGAUGGGACACGGUGUAG